UCAAAUAGCCCAUAAGACCACCCACUAUACAAUUAAACCACAAUCAGAAGAGAUCUACAUAAUUGGGAGAAUUAUAGCUACUAAUACAAUUGUGUUGCAUCAAUAACAAAUAAAUGAGAAACUUUAGAAAAUGAAAACAAUAGUCUACAACUAUGCUACAAAGAGUAAUUUUUGUUUGUUCUUAAUCAAUUUUCAGCCAAAACAACCACCAACUUAUUGAUGCCAUGCUGAUGUAAGAAGAGUUUAAAAUGUCAAUUUAUAGACUUUUUGAAGGUGUUGACGAACCCAUAUCAUAAAAACUGAGUAGCAAACAAAAGCUGCGUCAACCAAACAGAGAUAUUGACCUAAGUUUAGAAAUUAAAAUUAACCUUCACUUUCACUUGGGUCAUUAAUCGAACAACUGUUUAGCAUUUUCAAGCUUGUUGAAGGUAUUAGAGAAACGCCUAAAGCCACAUACUUCAACUGCUAACACCAACUUAUAGUAACAUACCAUCAUAUCUUACACUUCAUCUUAUCAAUUGAACAUUGAAAUUCGAAAGAAUCAACAGGAGAGAUUAAAUAUUUUCGUUUCAAAGGUCAGAUUUUUAAUUAAAAGGCUGUUUGGGAUUGAGACAGAAACUGCUUUUUUGGAAAAUUAAAAUCAAAUUUUAAAGAUCUCUAUAAGAAAUGGUAAGAGAGAUUACUUCCAACAAGGGCAGCAUAACCAA
This 707-nucleotide unclassified non-coding RNA is filed under the name Hevea brasiliensis (rubber tree). The record is from RNAcentral. Lineage: Eukaryota; Viridiplantae; Streptophyta; Magnoliopsida; Malpighiales; Euphorbiaceae.